UAUGUAUUUGUCUCGAUAUAGGGCGAA
This 27-nucleotide small RNA is filed under the name Bombyx mori (domestic silkworm). RNAcentral describes it as "ovarian small RNA-24009". Lineage: Eukaryota; Metazoa; Arthropoda; Insecta; Lepidoptera; Bombycidae. The record is from RNAcentral.